This 253-nucleotide ribosomal RNA is filed under the name uncultured bacterium. Its description in RNAcentral is "partial 16S ribosomal RNA". It matches the Rfam family "Bacterial small subunit ribosomal RNA", at positions 524 to 776 of the family's 1533-position model. The record is from RNAcentral.
UACGAAGGGGGCUAGCGUUGUUCGGAAUCACUGGGCGUAAAGGGCGCGUAGGCGGCCCGGUAAGUCCGCUGUGAAAGUCCAGGGCUCAACCCUGGGAUGCCGGUGGAUACUGUCGGGCUCGAGUCCGGAAGAGGCGAGUGGAAUUCCUGGUGUAGCGGUGAAAUGCGCAGAUAUCAGGAGGAACACCGGUGGCGAAGGCGGGUCUCUGGGCCGAUACUGACGCUGAGGAGCGAAAGCGUGGGGAGCGAACAGG